RNAcentral lists this ribosomal RNA (253 nucleotides) under uncultured bacterium. RNAcentral describes it as "partial 16S ribosomal RNA". It matches the Rfam family "Bacterial small subunit ribosomal RNA", at positions 524 to 776 of the family's 1533-position model. The record is from RNAcentral.
UACGGAGGGUGCAAGCGUUAUCCUGAUUUACUGGGUUUAAAGGGUGCGCAGGCGGAUAUGUAAGUCAGUGGUGAAAUCUCUGGGCUUAACCCGGAAAUUGCCAUUGAUACUAUAUAUCUUGAAUGUUGUGGAGGUAAGCGGAAUAUGUCAUGUAGCGGUGAAAUGCUUAGAUAUGACAUAGAACACCUAUUGCGAAGGCAGCUUACUACGCAGAUAUUGACGCUCAUGCACGAAAGCGUGGGGAUCAAACAGG